AUACGCGGCGGAGAGCGGGACGCGCGGUCCACGGGCAAGCCCCGGCUCCACGGCGGAGCGGCGAGCGAGGCCAACGAGUUUCUAGCGGCGGAGGCUGGGAUGGCGCCAGGGGUGGCCGAGAGCGCGGCCCGGAGACCCUGGAACCCCCUCGCCCAGGGAACGGGGAAAAAGGAGGGGUCGACCCCCAGAAAUUCUGGAAUCCCCUUGAACAGGGCGAAAACUGGGGUGUUACUCCGGACUCUGUGGGAGGGAGGAUAAUUCUAGCGGGGGCACGCGUGCUGGGAGGGCAGGUGAGGAAGGGGGUCACUCCCCUUCCCCAGUCCCCGACCCCAUUGUCUCAGUCGCCUGCGGCCCGGGCCGACUCCGCAACACGUGUUGACUACACCGAUAUGAAUGCCUUGAAUUUUUUUUAUUGUUAUUAUUUUUCGUUUGCAGAGUCUGAGCUGACUCCGACUUUGGCUCACCGCUCUGCGGCCGGACGAUUGUAUGCCAUUCAAAAAGUCGGGAGUUGAAAGACAGCACGCAGCACCUUUGUCCCCCUCCCCGUUUUCCCGGCGCGCUGAAAAGAAAUGGGGCUGGGACUUAGGGGCGGGGGAGGGCUUCCAACUCGGUUUCUCUAUAUCCUCCACCACCUUAGAGCCCACCCUCCCCAAUGAGCGUUUUGUUCUACCCAGCCACGUGUUUGUCGGAUUUUUGUUUUUGUGAUUUUUUUUUCCCAUGGAACAACAAGAAUUAAAGUACUAGGAGCUAUUUGUUGUUGAGUAGAAAGAGAAUAUUUUCUGUCCAAGAAGGUGGGAGACAUCUGUGUCUCACCCCCACACACACACCUCCGACCCUCCCCCCUUAUCUGACUCUUAAUACUUAGCUGUUGGUCACAAGCAUUAUUUUUAAACAAACCAAUGAGUAGGAAAC
This 912-nucleotide long non-coding RNA is filed under the name Homo sapiens (human). RNAcentral describes it as "HSALNT0390485". Lineage: Eukaryota; Metazoa; Chordata; Mammalia; Primates; Hominidae. The record is from RNAcentral.